AUGAGUGGCAGACAUUUAGAGCAAAGGCUUAGUAUCGAAUUUUGUGUGAAGUUCAACAAAUCUACAGGCCAGCGGUGGAAUUCAUCAUCCAGGAGCCUCCCACCCAAGAUCACUCAGGAUUGGUUAUCACCAUGGAAUCAGUUAAAUAAUCUGGACCUCACACUUUCAUCCUUUACAUCCCUGUUCAACAUCAACAACUCCCAACUCCUGAGACCCUUCCCACAAACCAUCCUGUUCCCAGGGUCAAAUUGCCAGUGGAUCUGCUUCAAUUCCUUGACUCAGGAUCGCCAUAUUAGCAACUCCCGUGACAUCUCAAAACAGGAGAACUGUCAGUUGGAAAUCACUGACUCAGCAGGUAGCCAUUGCAGCCCCUGCCAAAGCCUGAGGGCUGUCCUAUCUGCCUAAAGGAAUAAGCAGGCAAUGCAGGUGUUUCUGAGGAAAAGGUAAUUGAGAUAAUCUGCCACAUUGCCUUCAUGAUAUGUCUCAUAGACCUAGUUUCAGGGAUGCAAUUUCCUUUUAAAUAAAUGUUUCCCACCUGAUCUAAAACUGACUCGU
RNAcentral lists this long non-coding RNA (555 nucleotides) under Phascolarctos cinereus (koala). RNAcentral's name for it is "lncRNA (ENSPCIG00000034848.1)". The record is from RNAcentral. Lineage: Eukaryota; Metazoa; Chordata; Mammalia; Diprotodontia; Phascolarctidae.